UACGGAGGGUGCGAGCGUUAAUCGGAAUUACUGGGCGUAAAGCGCACGUAGGUGGUUUGGUAAGUCGGAUGUGAAAGCCCAGGGCUUAACCUUGGAAUUGCAUUCGAAACUGUCUGACUAGAGUUUGGUAGAGGAAGGCGGAAUUCCGGGUGUAGCGGUGAAAUGCGUAGAUAUCCGGAGGAACACCGGUGGCGAAGGCGGCCUUCUGGACUAAAACUGACGCUGAGGUGCGAAAGCGUGGGGAGCAAACAGG
Molecule: unclassified non-coding RNA, 253 nt
Filed under: uncultured Gammaproteobacteria bacterium
Lineage: Bacteria; Pseudomonadati; Pseudomonadota; Gammaproteobacteria
Description: contains 16S-23S intergenic spacer region
Rfam family: Bacterial small subunit ribosomal RNA
Source: RNAcentral